Molecule: ribosomal RNA, 467 nt
Filed under: uncultured bacterium
Lineage: Bacteria
Description: partial 16S ribosomal RNA
Rfam family: Bacterial small subunit ribosomal RNA
Source: RNAcentral
GACGAACGCUGGCGGCGUGCUUAACACAUGCAAGUCGAACGGAAAGGCCCUGCUUUUGUGGGGUGCUCGAGUGGCGAACGGGUGAGUAACACGUGAGUAACCUGCCCUUGACUUUGGGAUAACUUCAGGAAACUGGGGCUAAUACCGGAUAGGAGCUCCUGCUGCAUGGUGGGGGUUGGAAAGUUUCGGCGGUUGGGGAUGGACUAGCGGCUUAUCAGCUUGUUGGUGGGGUAGUGGCUUACCAAGGCUUUGACGGGUAGCCGGCCUGAGAGGGUGACCGGCCACAUGGGGACGGAGAGACGGCCCAGACGCAUACGGGAGGCAGGAGGGGGGAAUAUGGCACAAGGGGCGGAAGCCUGAGGCAGCAACGCCGGGUGCGGGAGGACGGCCUUCGGGUGGGAAACCGCUUUCGCCUGUGACGAAGCGUGAGGGACGGGAAUGGGGAAAGAAGCACCGGCGAACUACGG